Molecule: ribosomal RNA, 253 nt
Filed under: uncultured bacterium
Lineage: Bacteria
Description: partial 16S ribosomal RNA
Rfam family: Bacterial small subunit ribosomal RNA
Source: RNAcentral
UACAGGGGGGGCAAGCGUUGUUCGGAAUUACUGGGCGUAAAGGGUUCGUAGGUGGCCAACUAAGUCAAACGUGAAAUCCCUCAGCUUAACUGGGGAACUGCGUCUGAUACUGGAUGGCUUGAGUGCAGGAGAGGAACGCGGAAUUCCAGGUGUAGCGGUGAAAUGCGUAGAUAUCUGGAGGAACACCGGUGGCGAAGGCGGCGUUCUGGACUGCAACUGACACUGAGGAACGAAAGCCAGGGGAGCAAACGGG